Molecule: ribosomal RNA, 1755 nt
Filed under: Triticum aestivum (bread wheat)
Lineage: Eukaryota; Viridiplantae; Streptophyta; Magnoliopsida; Poales; Poaceae
Description: partial small subunit ribosomal RNA
Source: RNAcentral
AUGGCCAUGAUUUCCCUCCACGUAUUACUCGGCCUUCUCCUCCUCUUGCACGUCGCUCCUCCAAGCUCCUCUGACGAUACUCUCGCGGCUGGUCAGGUGCUCACCGUCGGGGACAAGCUCGUCUCAGCAAACGGCAGGUUCGCGCUCGGCUUCUUCAACUGGUUCCAGGUCCAGCCACCGAGCAACAUUGACAUUAGUAAGUCCAACAGCACCACCUUCCUCGUCUCCAACUGGUACCUUGGCAUAUGGUUCAACAAGAUACCAGUUUUCACCACCGUGUGGGUUGCAAACAGGGACAUUGACCCCAAGCCCAACCUAACACAGCUCAAAAUAUCAAGCGAUGGCAACCUUGUCAUCAUACACCAGGGUGGUGUACUCUGGUCCGCUCUUGCUGUAAACAAGAAUAGGACACAAACCUGCAGCAUAAACACCACCAGUGCAAUCCUCAUGGAUAGUGCAAACCUAAUCCUUACAUCGUUAUCUGGCCAAGUGCUGUGGGAAAGCUUCGACUACCCAACAGAUGUUGUGCUCCCUGGCGCCAAAUUUGGCUGGAACAAGCUCACCCGUUUGAACCGUCGGGCAAUCUCGAGAAAGAGCACCGUUGAUCCGGGGCUUGGCUCGUAUAGCAUCGAGCUAGAAACCAAUGGCAAAGGGAUAGUCCUCAAGCGCCGUAAACCCUCGGUAGUGUAUCGGAUUUAUGCGCCUGAAAGUUCAGAGAUAUUGAAACUUUUACCAAGAAUCCAAAAGAUUCUACAAUUGGACCCACGAACAAAUGGUUUGAUUGUCCCAAAUUAUACCAAUAACCCAGAAGAGGAGUACUAUAUUUACACCUCGCCAGAUGAAUCAUCCUCCUCAUUUCUCUCGCUAGACAUCUCUAGUCAGAUCAAGCUUAAUAUCUGGUCACAAGCCAAUCAAUCUUGGCAAGCUGUAUUUGCCGACCCUGUUGAUGUCUGCACCCCAGCUGCAACCUGCGGACCUUUCACGGUAUGCGACGCCAAUGCGCUAUCACCAUGUGACUGCAUGGAGAGUUUCUCUAAGAAGUCACCCUGGCACUGGGAGUUUGGUGAUCGAACACAUGGGUGCAUCAGAAAUACACCGCUAUAUUGCACCAGUGGCAAGAACACGACAACUUCGACAGACAUGUUCCACCCAAUUGCUAAAGUUACAUUGCCCUACAACUCGCAAAGUGUAAACCUUGCUACCACUCGUAGUAAGUGUGAGGAAUCUUGUCUCAGCUCAUGCUCCUGCACGGCUUAUUCCUAUAGCAAUAGCAAUUGCUCUGUCUGGCAUGGGAAACUGCUUGGUGUAUGUCUCAGUGAUGGCCUUGAAAUUAGUUCUGAAGAUGUUCUUUACCUGCGCCUUGCUGCCAAAGAUAUGCCAAGUUUGGGAAAAGACAAAAGAAAACCAAAUGUUGGAGUUGUUACUGCUGCAAGCAUUAGUUGUUUUGGGUUACUAAUGCUCCUGAUGUUGCUAGUGAUUUGGAGAAAAAAACUUAGGUGGUCCAGUUCGCCAUUUUACGGCAGUCAAGGCCCUAGUGGGAUUAUCGCAUUUACAUACACUGAUUUAGCUCGUGCUACUAAAAACUUCUCUGAAAAGAUAGGAACGGGUGGUUUUGGUUCUGUAUACAAGGGAAUGUUAAAUGACUCAACUACUAUUGCAGUGAAAAGGCUUGAUGGUACCCGCCAGGGAGAGAAGCAAUUCAGAGCCGAGGUGAGCUCAAUUGGACUGAUCCAACAUAUCAACCUGGUGAAUUGA